UAAAACCAUUUUCCUCUCUUCUUUGGUGUCAUUGGUCCCAGCCAACAGGGGUUCACGAGACCUGUAGACUUCUGCUUCUUCUGAGGAGCAGCUGUCUGCAUCACCCUUUUGAGGGAUCUGCUGCUGCCACAAGCAGGGCUGGUCUGGAACAACCUGCUGUGUGCACGCAGUGUAGCCUCGUGCCAUGCAGAGAUACCAGCUGAGCGCCCUGAGCAGUAGUGGCACAGCAGCGUGCUGGCACUGCUGGCUUCUUAGCUCCGCACACACGUGUGCCCUGCGUCCAGUCCUGCAGCAAGGCUGCUGGUGGCAUUGAAACGGGAGGAGUGGCUGAUCCACCACAAGGCUGUGCUGCCAUUCAGAGAGACCUGGACAGGCUGAAGAGAUUAGCAGUUUAGUAUCAUCAGUGAAUUUACUCAAAACACCUUCUAGUCCUAUAUCCUGCACCCUGGGCUCUUCACGAGCAGGUUACCGAGCCCCCCCCCACACACACACUCCAAGGCCCGGCUGUGCAGGGCCGGGCCGGGGGCGCUGCUGGCUCCGCUCGUGCCUCCUCAGCCGCCCUCACGAGGGGCCUCGGGGCAGGAAAAAAGCCCUAAAAAGAUACAAAAAGCCCUGCCUGCCGCCGUCCUCUGCUCCGGGAACAGGUCAGUGCCACUUCAUGCUCGGAGUGGAUCCCAUUGCCGGAGGGUGUCAUACAGGUGGAAUUUCAUAUGACUCGAUCUGUGCACAUUAUUUCUUGUCCUGUCAUGUGGCAGUCUAUCCAGGGACUUAUCAGGCAGAAAACAGAGGAUGAAGACGCUGUCUUCAUGAGCUGUGAAAAAUCAGAUGAUACCUAUCAGCACACAGGAGAUCAGCAUCUCUUCUGUAAGUCAGCAGUCGAAUAUAAGAAAUACCAGUAUUUACCACUGACAAAAACAAUGCUAAGUGCGUGACCACUAUGUUACAUUUCUACUGUGUUGAUAGCAAAGCUAAAGUUCUAGGUUAAAGUAAAAGUUUGCAAGAAACAGGGAAUUUAAAACUUGCUGAGGGUGCACUCAAUCUCACUGUACAUCACCAACAAAGAUGCUAAACAGCUCUGGUCCCAGUAUAGGCCUCUGAAGAGCAGCACUCAUUACUGAUCUCCUCUUGGAUGUUAAGCCAUUGACUGCAACUCUUAAGUGAGAACAUCCAGUCAAUUCCUUACACACCGAGUUGUCCAUCUGUCAAAUCCACGUUUCUUCAAUUUAGAGAGAAGGAUAUCGCGGGGGACAGUGUCAGAUGCUUUGUGCAAGUCCAGGUAGAUGAUGUCAGUUGUUCUUCUGUUGUCUGCCACUGUUGUAAUCCUGUCAUAGAAGGCCACCAGAUUUGUCAGGCAUAAUCUGCCUUUAGUGAAGAUCACAGAACCUCAGCCAUUGUGUGAUUCUGUGAUGUGCACCAGCACCAUCUGUAAUGGUAUAUGUCUUAUAUCUGCAUUUAGGUGUCAGAAACACAGUUUUGUGGCAAGCAUGAUAACAGCAGUACCCAGUGGUAAAAGUGCUAGUGGCUCUGUCCUGCUGUUGU
This 1539-nucleotide long non-coding RNA is filed under the name Anas platyrhynchos platyrhynchos (common mallard). Its description in RNAcentral is "lncRNA (ENSAPLG00000017400.1)". The record is from RNAcentral. Lineage: Eukaryota; Metazoa; Chordata; Aves; Anseriformes; Anatidae.